RNAcentral lists this ribosomal RNA (274 nucleotides) under uncultured bacterium. RNAcentral's name for it is "partial 16S ribosomal RNA". It matches the Rfam family "Bacterial small subunit ribosomal RNA", at positions 523 to 796 of the family's 1533-position model. The record is from RNAcentral.
AUACGGAGGGUGCAAGCGUUAUCCGGAAUCACUGGGUUUAAAGGGUGCGUAGGCGGCCAUAUUAGUCAGUAGUGAAAGGUUGCAGCUUAACUGUAAGACUGCUAUUGAAACUGUAUGGCUUGAAUUAGGAUGAGGUAGGCGGAAUGUGACAUGUAGCGGUGAAAUGCUUAGAUAUGUCAUAGAACACCGAUUGCGUAGGCAGCUUACUAGACCUAUAUUGACGCUGAGGCACGAAAGCGUGGGGAGCGAACAGUAUUAGAUACCCCAGUAGUCC